Molecule: ribosomal RNA, 117 nt
Organism: Danio rerio (zebrafish)
Lineage: Eukaryota; Metazoa; Chordata; Actinopteri; Cypriniformes; Danionidae
Source: Ensembl
UGUCACAGCCAUAUCACCCUGCAGCCCAAGAGUGGUUACUCACUGAAGCUAAGCAGGGCUGAGCCUGGUCAGUACCUGGAUGGUAGACCUCAUGGGCAAACUAGAUUGCUGUUGGAA